CUUUGCAAACACAAUCACGUUCUUAAAUGGAAAUGCGGGGCUUUAAACAAAUCUUACAUCUCUCCCGUUCCAUUCGCCUAAAACUCUGCAAUCAGGCACAUGUUCCGCUCCUUCUAAAACAGGAGCUUUUUUGGAAGGUUUUUCAGGCGCAACAGUCCCAUUUUAAUCAUUUACCUGAAAGCAAUGUUUUGCCUUUUUUUUUUUUUUAUCUCUGCCGCGUGUUUGUUUGUUGUCAUCUUCCCCCUCCAUGCGACUAUUCUCUUUCUGUUUACAGGACGACUCAACUCCGGUGUUCAUUUUAAUCCGGGACUACAUCACUAAAAGAAUCCGCAAAGGCUGAGCGGCUUGCCAACAUGAAGGCCACAACCCUGAAAGGACACAGCAGGAGUGAGUCAAUGUGGCGAACAAACAUGUUGCCUGGUAUGGACAGUAUGUUUGUGACGUUCAUAGAUCCAUCCAAGCAUCUUCACUCUUAUUUCACAUAAACUCCUCGUCUAAUGUAAGAGCCUGGUGUGGUGUGCAUGUGUGAGGUAUUCACUUGUGUGUACAACUCAUUGACACUCGAACACAUUUGCUCAUUUUGAGUAAUAUAAGAACUUUUAUACAGUCAAAAAACAUCAAAUAUUGGGUUAACUAAAGACUUGUGCGACACAUUUUUAAAUUUGACAACAAUGCCAUCUGUCUAAAUGAAUUUCUGUUUUACUUUCUUACUUAUUUUGUGAGAUUUUCAUGCCUUGACUAAAGAGCUUAAAGUAGAAGAAUGACAGAAAAAGAAAGAAAUGUGGACUGACAUCUAACAAACGGCAGGCAGGUUUAAACCUGGAACUGUGCAGUUCACAGUUGGCACUAUAACCUUUAAGCCACAGGGGAGCCAACUUCUUUUAUUACACUUUUUGCUGAAGAAUUAAACAGUGAAUAAAGUUAACUUUAUUUGCGGAAGAACAUCUUUUUUUUUCGGAGUAGUCUUGUUCCACAGGUAAGCCCUCUCAGGCCGUGACUUUCCUUUGGGGCAGCUGCUUAGUUUUAUCCCACUUGAUUGCUCUCUUGGCCACGACACAACACAGCUUCUCUCUCACGCACGCACACACACACACACACACACACACACACACACACUCACACACGCACGCACACACUCCAGAGAACUUCCACACUAAGGCCCCACCGCAAAGUUAUUAAUGAGCUGUUUAAUUUUAAUUAGAUAGUAAUUCAUGUUAAUGCCUGCUUAAUGGAGCCAAAUAAUUCCCUUCGGUCACUCGGGGUCUUUAUGCUUCGUUUACCAGCCCCUGCAGUUAUUCUCUGGCUUUUGUUUUUAUAUUACAUUUCCAAGUUUUUUUUCCAAGCAGUGAGUGAAUGAUGAAACAGUAAAAGCAGGAAACAUAUGGGGUGAGAGAAGCGUGAGUGUGUGUGUGUGUGUGUUAAAGACUGUUAAUGUGAUCCUCACAGUGAACCCAAAUACCCGCAUGUUGGUGUUUGUGUGUCCUUUUAUUUCUAUUUCUUUUUAUUUGAAGGAUUGUUUGCCUCAAUGUGUGAAAUGUUGAACUACUCAGUCACACACACACACACACACACACACUGACCCCACAGUGCAGUAAAUGCCUUAAGUCAGACCAAAGAAAAGGUCAAACUCAGUAUUGAACGCUAAGCUAGGUUAAACCCUCAGGUUUAAGUGCAGGUACCAAGACAUGUGUAAGAGAGAGGUUGUGACCUUUUUGUCCAGGCCAAGCCCCUCGAGGUAAAUCGCUCCUGCCGCUUGUCACGUGUGCAUCUAGUGCGCCGCUGCCUACCUAGGGAAGCAUUUGUUCGUGACACGCCCCCAGAGGUUCAAACAUGGGUAAGGCUGUGUAGGAGUGACCACACCAGCUCGGACCGCCGUGCAUGUGUGCGUGAGAGGAGCAGUGGAGAGGUCAUUGCUGUUGAGUCUGUCUCGGUUCUGUCUGGGUGCCUCGGCUCUAACGGAGCACUAAGCUGAGUGGCUGAAUUGAGUUAGUGGCUACAGACAGGCUUUUAAUUGUUGAUUGACCAGUCUGAGUGCUUCCUGGGCUGGGGUCAUUGCAGAGAGCAGACGGGGAGGUCCCCAGGCCCCAGCGGCAAUUUCAGCCACGUACACCCAAGCGCUGUGGUGGGGCGGAAAGAGAAGGAGAGGAGGAUGUCGGAGAGCUAGAUGGGACAUGGUGAGGAGUGUGAAUAAGAGCGGAGGGACUUUAAAAAGUUAGAAAAUUUGUUGUGCUUUAUUCGUGUGUUUCCCCACCCCACCCCCCCUACAUGAAGUUUGAUCUAGGGAUUUAUAGGGGCCACACAAUUCACAAGCAAACAGAAAGGCAUAUUGGUGAAAGCGUUAGAGUGGCUGUACGCAGGGCAGGCUUUGAGGUCCGCAGAUUAGCAAGUUCAAUGUUUACUCCUCCACAAAAUCUCGGCUCCUUCAUCUGUUUGACAAUUACAAAUUUACUUUGUACCCGUUCCAUCCACUUCUUUGCCCCUCCGCUCCCUCCCUCUUUAUCCUCUUCUCUCUCCUUCCUUCAGCCCUCUUUCCUCUAAUUCUGCACGGGGCUACAAAAGCCCAUUCUGCUGUUUUAGUGGGUUAGCUCUUCUCACCUCCCCUCUUCUACUCCUCCUCCUCCUCCUCCUCCUCUUCUCGAGUCACAGCAGGUGCCCGUCCUCAGCUAACAUUUGUUAUCUCUAAUCCUGCAGGUUCGGCGCACAAAAAGAGCGUAGUAAACUCUCUCUCAGACCUAAUCCCACCACUCCUUUUUUGAUGGCACUCCCCCUCGCCCUCCUCUCCUCUUUUCUCCCUUCACUAUCUCUCUUUUAGGCUGCUGGGGGGACACGCCACUCCUCUGAUUGCCACAUAGCUUUUUAUCACCAUGGCCUUCAAUUUGGGGGGCAGCUGUUGGUAGCGGGGGUGUCCUUUUUUCUCCUGUUCUUUAUACCUCCGAUUCCAACUCUCUUUUCCCUUUCUCCCUUCGCUCUGUCUCCUUUUUUUUUUUGCCCCCUUCUCCCUCUCUCUCUGUAUCAUUUACAGUCAUUUUCUGGCAAUUAAAAUGGAGCGCUGCUGCAGGAUUUUCGCCUGCAGUGCAACACUACAGUGCUGAUGAAUAAUUCUUCACCCUGCAAACUGGAAAGCUAGCCUUUCUUUCAUGUCGGCCCUUUGUUGAUUUACCAUUAAAACUUACUGCACCGUGCUAUGAGUGGAGGACCCAGCUCUGCAGGAACUGGCAAAAAGCAAAAAUGAGGAUGAAGCAGAUAUGUGUACAUAUGCUUUAGGGUCUUUUUCUCCUCCAGCCCAGAAUGAAAAAGUCUGUGAGUUACGCAUGUGUGUCUUAUAUAUUUGUGUUUAUGGUUUAGAUUUAUGGCGCAUGAGGCCUCUUUAUUUAUGUCCACUGUCUCGUUCUGUACCACUUAGGUUUUAUGUUAAUUUUUCUUAUCAACGGUUUUCAUUAUGGGGCUUAGCUGCAUUGUGUGAGUGAUUAGACGGUCAUUCAUCUCUGUUUCCCUCUCGCGCUCACACACACUCACACUCUCUCUCUCUCUAUCACACACACAGCGAGCAGUGACUGAUGUGUGGAUGGAGUGUGUGGGGUGCUCUGGCUACAGAGGCGGGGUGGUGCUGGCAGUAUGUUAAAUGAUGUGGGUCUCCAGGCCAGCCCAGCUCUGAGCUGUUUUCUGUUAGCAGCAUCCCAGAGUGGACUAUUCACUGCUUUAAGGAUUUCAGUUUGAAUAACUUGUUUCCCAACAGAGAAAACUGAAAGUUCAUAUUUGGAGUGUAAAAUGUCAUAAUAAUAAAUAAAAAUCUGCGAAAAAAAAAUAGACAUUAGGAAAAUAAAUAUACAGGAUAACGUCAGCAGGCAGUUCUGAAUUAUCACAAAAAUGCUUGAGUUUCCUUUUUGUUUUUCCUGUCCAUGACAGAUUGAACUGUACAUUGGUUGAAUCAGUGAUUCUUCAAUUCUUCUCUACUGGCAUCAAUUUAAAGUGCACAUUUUCUGACAAGUUAGUGCUGUCAGUUUUGUAAAUAUUCCCUUUCCUGUUUGAAAAAAAAAUACAACAUAUGAUAUAGUUUGUUUUGAAUCUGCUUACAGUAAUCUGUCUGCAGAAAGUAUCAGGAAGUUCUUGAAUUUCAGGAAAAAGGUCAGCUUGUUUUUACACCCACAGUGAAGAUUUCUUUUGACAAAAAUAUGCAUGACCUAUCACUAACCCAUUUAUUUAGUUUAAGCGAAUUCAGAAAACACAUAAUGUGUAUCAUCUUCAUCGUACCACUGCCAUUGUCAGAUCAGUUAAAAGCUCACAUUUACUUCGUUUAUUUCUGGUUUGUUACCACUGCUAUCUUUUAGUUUCGAAAUAUCAAUAACAAUACCAAUCCUCUUUAAACGUCUUUUUCAUGUGAUGAAAAGUCCAAAAUCCAAACAAACUUAACUUCCAAAUUUUUAAGACUAAGAAAACUUGAUCAAAUAUUUGAUGAAUAAUCGAUUAUCAAAGCAUUUACCAAUUAUUCUUCUGGAAACUGAUUAAAUCCUUGAAUCAACAAAUCAUUGCAUGCAAGGCAAUUCACAGUUUUCAAAUGUACUUUAAAAAUGGUUAUGAUGUGAAUUCUCUGAUUUAUCAAUGUAACGACUGUGUGCAUGCACACAAUAGAGAAAAAGAACACAGAAAUUGAGUGCUCACAUUUCCCAAAUCAUGAACUGAUAUGAGGUGGUUUAAUGUUUGUUGGAACUCGAGUUACCAUCUGCAACCUAUAGUCAACUGUUUCAGUGGGUUUUAGCUCUUCUCACCUCUCCGCUCCUCACAGAAGGUUUAAUUCGUUUUGCUUGAGACGAGUGUAGCUGCAAGAGAAGUGUGUCCCCUUUAAUAAUUGCAAUGAAUGAACCAGUCCAUGAGUGAAACGGGGUGAAGUUUAAGCAGCUUUAACCCUGGCUGGAGGGGUGAAAUGUGGGCCUGAGAAGAAGUAUCCUCCCCUAUGUCAUCUGGCUCAGUAGUUAUCUCCCAGUCAGUUAUAUGGGCUUCAGCAUAUUGAACAGCAAAUUUGAACACACUCUCAUUCGGAUCCUCUGACAGGCACACACAUGAACAAGCAAACAUUGACACACACAUGUACACACAACGGCACACACACACACACACACACACACACACACACACACACACACACACACACACACA
Acanthochromis polyacanthus (spiny chromis) is the source of this 5154-nucleotide long non-coding RNA. RefSeq lists it as uncharacterized. NCBI's taxonomy places the organism in Eukaryota, Metazoa, Chordata, Actinopteri, Pomacentridae. The record is from RefSeq and is a predicted model, not a curated record. The transcript has 2 exons.